AUUUCAAUGGACUUUGAAAAGCCAUUCCCCCACCCGACCCCCAGGUAAGAGCCUAGAGAGAAAGUUUAAAGGGAGGAUCCCAGGAGAGAGGACCCCCUGAGUUCCUUUCAGGUGGAACAGCUGACUCUCUGGUUGGUGGGUUACCCAGGGUCUUUCCUUCUUCCUCUUGACUCUUACAUGGCCUUUUUAGCUAUUUAUUGCCAGAGGAAAAUACCAAGAUGCUGAAGUCAGAAAUAAAACAACACCUGUUGGGCAAGAGCCCCCUGAGGAGACUCUUUGGAUUUUAAAGACCCAAACAAUCCCAAUCCCCUUGGGACAAGGGCCUCCUUCCCUGGGCCCCCGGGGCACACCCACCCACACAGGUGAGGGACUGUUCCUGGCACGGAAGACAUUCCCUCCCCUAACCAUUAACUUUCUCUCAGGUCUUUCUGGCCCCUGGCCUGGUAUGAGCUAAGCGUCCAGGCAGAUUUCUUUAACUCACCAGGCCGCCCCUCUGUGGGAGAGGAAGGGGAAAUUGAGUUUUGGCAAAGACACAAAGAUUCUGUGAUUAAAACCAAGAAGUUCCUUGUGUGAAAAAGAAAAGUCUGUGUAUGAGCAAAGGCUGAAUCGAACAACGAAGUCAGGUUGUCAUGUUAAGAUCAGAGGACAGCUCCCUUAAGACACUCUUGAGAGGAGUUAUUUUGGGAUGGUGGAGACUACAGGGGAUGAAAAGAAGUCACCUCAUACUCAUGAGCCACUGUAUUUGUGGAGUUUUUAUGUCUAUAAAGUACUUAACAAUG
Long non-coding RNA from Pipistrellus kuhlii (Kuhl's pipistrelle), 779 nucleotides. RefSeq lists it as uncharacterized. The transcript is spliced from 2 exons. Lineage: Eukaryota; Metazoa; Chordata; Mammalia; Chiroptera; Vespertilionidae. The record is from RefSeq and is a predicted model, not a curated record.